Molecule: long non-coding RNA, 2379 nt
Organism: Papaver somniferum (opium poppy)
Lineage: Eukaryota; Viridiplantae; Streptophyta; Magnoliopsida; Ranunculales; Papaveraceae
Exons: 4
Source: RefSeq, a predicted model, not a curated record
UUCACAGGCUUUGAGAUCACAACAAACUCUAUUCUCUACACCCUGAAAUGAAACAAGAUAUGGAGGAAGUUGCUAAAUCUAAGUUGUUUGAGUUGUUAGCGACGAAUUGAGUGAUACAAUUACAGAAUAACAAGAAGAAGAAGAGAAGGAAGAGAAGAAAUAAGAAGCAUUGAUUUGGAUACUAUCUUCCAGUUUGUGAUUGAAUCUGCUAUCGUUGUGCUAUUCGAUUCCUGGAUUUCUGUAGGGAAUGAAAUUUCAAUGGUUAGUUAUCAAUCUACGUGGUUGCUGUUGAAUGUAACAAAAAUCCGCAAUAUGUUAAAUUCAUUUUGAUUGUUGGAGAUCAAACACUCGAAAUAGAUCACAGGAAAUCAAUGUCUAUGGAGGUCUUUCUAAGAUGAAGAAUCAUCUACCAAAGCAGCUGAAUCAAAUGAAGAAUUGUGAAAUCUAUGGAGAAAUUGGGGAUCAUUCAAAGAUGAACUUCAAUUGGAAAAUUUUGCUGUAUGGUGAUUCUUGAGUGGAAUUGGAGAUCAGAAUGGAAGAGGAGAGGACGAAUUCCAAUUUGGCUGUAAGGAAUAUUGUUCUAACAUUCGAGUUAUUCUUCUGGAAAAUCUGCAGCCUGUAUGAGUGUAACUUUACACACUCAUUUAUUGGCGAGGUACCCUUACAGUGCAACUUUUUUUAUCAUGUAGACCAAGUUGAUGAGAAACUUCUGCGAGGGAAUGGUGGAGAUUAUUUGUACACGAAGGUCAUUUGGGCUUUCUAUAUGAAUCAAAGGGAAGAGAAUUUAUGUGCUUUCAGCUCUUUAUGAUCCAUGUAAAGGGUAAGAAGCAGUGCAGAAACAUCUGCAAGAAGUUGAGUUGCAUUCCUUGUAUCUCCUUGAUGGGACAAGGUUUCAAACCUGUGGCAGGGGAAGUUGCUGCCAUCUGAAGGCCUUGGUCAUCACAUCCUAAAGAGUGCAAAUCUUUCUUCAACUAGAAAUUGUUGGCUCUUUUCAAAUAUGGUUUUCCAAGUUGCCCCUACUCUAAGAGUUUCUGCACUUACAAAGGGUUUGCGGCUUCUGAACAGUGGAGACUCAUUCAUAGAGGUUACUGAUUCUGGCAAAGGAGUACAAGUGCUUGCAGUUGCAGCUGCAGGAGAGGUUCAUUUCGAGUGAUGCGUAAGGGAUUUGAAAGAGAGGCUUGCAAGGGUUAAUCCGAAUAUCUCAAAAUCCCUGUCUCCUAUAAAGAGACCAUUGAACGGGAUGGACCCAAUUUCCAAUGGUCAAUGUGUUCGGGUGCAGGUUGUAAAGUUUCUGCUGGCAGUUACAAAGUUGCUUGAUCUGGGCUCUUUGAUCUAGGCACAUUGGUCUUAAUAUUUUUCUUGUUCCAGAAGCCAAAGAAGAGAAUGAUGACCAUUCAGCUCAAAUUCGAGGUUCUCCUCUUCAAUCACAAACUGUGGCUUUUUGAAAUAUUUAAAGAAACAAACAGUUCUCUCUUUAUGGAGGCAGAGAGUCUCAGGAGCAGUGCUUUAUCUGGGUUUCAGCUUGCUACUGGAGCUGGAUCUUUAUGUGAUGAACCUAUGUGCACGCGUGGCCCUUUAUAGUUGAAGCUAAUAUUAUUCCAGUGGACAACUAUGGCAUCUUCACCGGACUGAUGAUGACAGCAGUGAAGGAAGCAUGUUGGACAGCUGUGUUUCAGAACAGAAGAAACCUCGGCUUGUGGAAGCCAUGUACUUUUGUGAAUUGAACACCCCAAUUUGGGCUCCGUGUAUGCUGUUCUAUCUAAGAGACGUGCCCGAGUUUAGAAGGAAGAGAUGCAACAAGGGUUUCCUUUGUUCAUGGUGCAACAUAUGUGCCGUUUACUGCAAGUUUAUGGUUUGCACAUGAGCUUCCAGAAAAGAAAUCUGAAGCUUCAAGUGCAUUACUUGAGUUGUUCUAGUAUUGUAGGUAGCUCAUUGAUGCAGUAAGUAGGCGGAAAAGUCUUCCAGUGGAAGAAAAGUAGUUUAACAUGCCACCAAGCGGAGGACGCUAUCUCGUAAAGUAUUAAAAAUGGCUACAGUAAUUGCAGCAUAUUUCUGCUAACAUCUGGAUAUGGAGAUAACCCAAUAUUCUUGAUCCUGUUGCGUUCGAGAGGAAAGAGAAGACCUCUAGCCACUUUAGAUGCCGCUGAAGAUUAUUCUCUCCAUGGUUUCAUUGAGUCUUCCGUGCAGCCUGCUACAGCCCUGGGUUUAUAGAGGAGCAUAUUUCUAGGAUGAGGAAUCAUAUGCAGCAGAAUCUGUUUACAUGUUUUCUUUCUAUUGUAGGAAUUAUCUUUUGUUGGCUUUUGUAUUCGGCAGUAUAUUAGAUUCAGCUUCAGGAAAUUUCAGUCAAAAAAAAAAAAAAAAAGCACCGUUGCGGGGUAU